RNAcentral lists this long non-coding RNA (699 nucleotides) under Helianthus annuus (common sunflower). RNAcentral describes it as "sRNA HanXRQr2_Chr10g0449271". Lineage: Eukaryota; Viridiplantae; Streptophyta; Magnoliopsida; Asterales; Asteraceae. The record is from RNAcentral.
UGUCCCCUCCACAUUCAUCUUAUAGACAGGUGUCAAUCCCUCAUUCCAUUUGCUAUCGUGUUCAUCUCUCAGCCUAUCCACGCCUCCUCCUUAUUGCUAAACUAGGGUUUUUUUCCUUUACAUCUAUUCUUCCUAACCCUAAUCUCAUUUCCCCCAAAGGUGAAGGAGAAGAACAGCGUAGCAUUUCGCUCAGCAAGCAUUUCGCUCAACCACCUCUUCUUCUUCCACAAGCAUUAGAUCGAGUCGGAGCCCUAAUCCUAAGCAGGCAGCCGCUUAACAUUUUCCAAAAUCACCGCAAUUACGCAUCGCUCACAUGGCUCGUGCUUUAUCCAGAUCCGCUCGUCAGAGAGACAUUGUAGAGCACAAAGAAGGAUUAUGCCAAAACAGAAGACGAUUUGAAGUCCCUUCAAAGCGUUGGACAGAUCAUAGGCGAGGUGCUAAGACCUCUGGAUAGUGAACGAUGUAACUACUACCUUUACUAUUUUCCUUCCUUUUACUUUGAUUGUACACUAUGUUUUAAUUUUCACUCUUUUGUUUUAAGUCAUGAAUAGGCAAGUUAUGUGUAAUGUGUGAAAUAGAAAUUUAAAACCAAUGUGGAGUGUAGCUGCCUUGUAAUUUGAAUCAUUAAAACAUGUUGAAUGUUGUUAUUAAGUUGGUUGUUUUCUACCUUAAAUAAUUACACAAAGAUAUCAGUUUGAC